RNAcentral lists this ribosomal RNA (2763 nucleotides) under Trichinella pseudospiralis. RNAcentral's name for it is "eukaryotic LSU rRNA". The stretch from base 336 to 2763 matches the Rfam family "Eukaryotic large subunit ribosomal RNA". Lineage: Eukaryota; Metazoa; Nematoda; Enoplea; Trichinellida; Trichinellidae. The record is from RNAcentral.
CCCAUGAAAUAUGGUUCAGUCGCUUCAAGCUUUAACGACAAAGGCAUUUUGUCAUUAUGUGGGAGGUGUUGGUCCAAGGCGAGAACAAUGCAGUUCGCAAUAAUUGUCAUGAGAAUGAAAUAUUCGAACGGCCCCCAUUCGAUGAUUGUACGGGCGUAGCGGCGGACGAAAUUAUUUUCGGUGAAAAUGAAAAGUGAUGUAGGACCUUUACCAUCGCCACGUUUACCCGGGAUUCGGCGAGCUUGGCUUGACUUGUCAGCGGAACUGUCCAACGACUGUGAAUGAAGUUGAAGCUUUGUCCGUUCACUGGCCAACCUGGCAAUGUCAUCGAUGCGUAAAUUCAUCCCGAACGGAAAAACAACGAUGAAAUAUUAGUUGAAUGGGUCAAAUCGAUCUUUGGAACCCGAAAGCAUGAGAGCAGCAUGUUUGUGUUGUUAGCAGACAAACAACAAACAACAAUGGGAAUAUUAUCAAUUGAUGAUAAUAAUGAUGAUGAUGUAUGUUCGUUCACUACCUCUGUCGAUUAUACUCUCAUACUUCUUCUACAAUAGUGCUGUAUGUUUUCAGCUUUCUGUAUUUGUUGUUCACAGUUUCUCUGUUGAUGGAUAAGUAAAGACAAAUGCACAGAAAACAAGUAAACAAAUAAACAAAUAAACCAAUUUUCCAAUAGCUAAUUGAGAAAUACCAACCACGAACAGAAAUUUACUGUUUGCCUUGCCGCCUCAGUUUCUGCUUCUUCUGCUUCUGCUGCUACUGCUAUUACUAGUGCUGCUGCUGCUGCUGCUGCUGCUGCUAUUGUUUACUUGCUGUUGUUGUGUGUUGUUGUACACACACACCCACACAAUUCUGUGUGCAGUUGUCGUAUGUUUUCGAAAGGGAAUCCGGUUGAUAUUCCGGAACCGAGUAACGGAGACAAAGAGUAGCGCUUUAAUCUUCCGGUUGGCGUUCAACUCAAUCGCGCGGUAACGCAAGCGAACUCGGAAAAUGACCGUCGUGAGUUUCGAAAAGAGUUUUCUUUUCUUUUUAAGGGACGCAUUCCCUGGAACCGGGUUGUCCGGAGAUAGGGAUUCUGGUAUCCAUAAAACGCCGACUCUUUCACGGUGUUCGGAGCGCUCUCGUCGGUACGUGAAAAUCCGAGCGACGCCUGGUAAAUCUCGUACUUGGUCGUACUGAUAUCCGCAGCAGGUCUCCAAGGUGAAUAGCCUCUGGCCGAUAGAAUAAUGUAGGUAAGGGAAGUCGGCAAAACGGAUCCGUAACUUCGGAACAAGGAUUGGCUCUAAGGGCUGGGCCGAUCGGGCUGAGGUUUCAAGCGUGCAGUGUAUGCUUGGCUGAGCUGUGCUGAGGAUUGAUUAGCUUGGUGCCGUUUGUUGACCCAAGCGGCUGUCCAGGUGGUCAUGUCUGAAGCAAAGCUGGCCGACAGACCGGCACGUGCAGAACCUGAGCUGCGCGGCUGUCAGUUUAUUUGUACAGACCGUUUCGGUCGGCAUUCAACAGCCAACUUAGAACUGGCACGGACACAAGGAAUCUGACUGUAUAAUUAAAACAAAGCAUUGCGAUGGCCGAUGAUCGGUGUUGACGCAAUGUGAUUUCUGCCCAGUGCUCUGAAUGUCAAAGUGAAGAAAUUCAACCAAGCGCGGGUAAACGGCGGGAGUAACUAUGACUCUCUUAAGGUAGCCAAAUGCCUCGUCAUCUAAUUAGUGACGCGUAUGAAUGGAUCAACAAGAUUCCUUCUGUCCCUAUCUACUAUCUAGCGAAACCACAGCCAAGGGAACGGGCUUGGCAAAAUCAGCGGGGAAAGAAGACCCUGUUGAGCUUGACUCUAGUCUGACUCUGUGAAGAGACAUGAAAGGUGUAGCAUAGGUGGGAGGCUGCAGCCGGGCACUGCUUGCGCGGUGUCUCUGUGGUCGCCAAUGAAAUACCACUACUUUGAUCGUUUCUUUACUUAUUCGGUAAAGCGAAAAAAUUGUGGCCAAUUUUGCGGUCUCGCCGCUGUUGGUCAUUGUUUUAAUGUUGGAUUGAAGCUUCGUUUGUAGCCGUCGUUUUGUGUCGCCGUUUGACGUGCAUUCGCAGUGGUGUGGGUUUCUUGGCUCGCGCGCGGCUAGUGUCGUCAACAGCGGACGACCGGCGAUUGGUUUGAAGUGAUUCGCUCCGGAAACAGUGUCAGACGGGGAGUUUGACUGGGGCGGUACAUCUGUUAAACGAUAACGCAGGUGUCCUAAGGUAAGCUCAGCGAGGACAGAAACCUCGCCUAGAGUAAACGGGCACAAGCUUACUUGAUUUUGAUUUCCAGUACGAAUAAAAACCGCGAAAGCGUGGCCUAUCGAUCCUUUUGAUUGUGUAGAUUUCACGCAAGAGGUGUCAGAAAAGUUACCACAGGGAUAACUGGCUUGUGGCAGCCAAGCGUCCAUAGCGACGUUGCUUUUUGAUCCUUCGAUGUCGGCUCUUCCUAUCAUUGCGAAGCAGAAUUCGCCAAGCGUUGGAUUGUUCACCCACCAAUAGGGAACGUGAGCUGGGUUUAGACCGUCGUGAGACAGGUUAGUUUUACCCUACUGAUGACAAGUCGUUGCGAUAGUAAUCCUGCUCAGUACGAGAGGAACCGCGGGAUCAGACAUUUGGUUCAUGCGCUCGGCUGAAAGGCCGGUGGCGCGAAGCUAGCAUCUGCAAGAUUAUGACUGAACGCCUCUAAGUCAGAAUCUUUUCUAGUCAUUGGCAACGAUAAGUUGCGUCCGGACUCGAUGCGAGGAAACGACUAGGCUUUGUUGU